RNAcentral lists this long non-coding RNA (630 nucleotides) under Equus asinus (donkey). RNAcentral describes it as "lncRNA (ENSEASG00005031192.1)". The record is from RNAcentral. Lineage: Eukaryota; Metazoa; Chordata; Mammalia; Perissodactyla; Equidae.
CUGCGCCAUGCAGGCCUGUGUGGGAGCCUCCCCUGGGUCUGGGCGUGCAGAUGUAUGGGUGCAGGCCCCCCAACAGUGUGAAGGCAAUGGUCGGUGUGCGCUAGUGUGGACCCCUUCCUAAUCCUGAAUGCAGGAAUUUAUUACCUCUUCAUGACAAUCACAGGCAAUGUUAUCAUGCCCAUGUUUCAGAUGACGAAGCUGAGGCUCUCAGAGCAGGACUCCUAUGGCCAGCUUCGUAGCCACCGCCUCCUGGUCAAGCUCUUGUCAGCAUCCAGCUCCUGGGUGAGUGAGCAGGAGGGGUCCACUCAAGGAGGUGAGUCUGAGGCCCCCAGAUAACACCUCUUUGAAGAUCUAGCCUGGUGUAAAUGUCCUGCAGUCUCAUCGUCUUGAGCCCCUGUCCAGUUGGGUUCUUCCUGUCCCAUCCAGCCACCUCAUUCCUUCAUGUCACCUGCACAGCCUGUGGACACUGAGUUUCUUAACCCCAGCACGAUCUGAAGGAUUGCGUGUUAGACUGAGGAGGUCUGGCAGCGGCAGCUGGGAAAAUUAAAACUAGAGAGCCCUGUAGAAGCUGUGGAUCCAGCAUCAUUAUCAGCGAAAUUGUGGCCGUGAUAAAGCAACAUUUACCUACAG